This 583-nucleotide long non-coding RNA is filed under the name Phoenix dactylifera (date palm). RNAcentral describes it as "long non-coding RNA (PDAC_LNC005335)". Lineage: Eukaryota; Viridiplantae; Streptophyta; Magnoliopsida; Arecales; Arecaceae. The record is from RNAcentral.
UGAUGACUAUUAGAUUUUGCAAUAUUAUUCAUAGAUUUAGUUUGUUCUCGUUUAAUAUAUUUUCUUGUCUCGAAGCCUAUUUAUUCUCUUGAGCACUCUCUUCUAGUUAUUUUGAAGGGGGGCUUACACGCUUGUGCUGGCCCAAUGGCAUGUUCAUAUGUGAGCCAACGCAUAAUCUGAUAAAUUCAAUGGCUAUGCCGAGUAGUCGAAAACCCAAGCUAAUGCUUAUUAUUGAACUAUAAGUGUAUCCAAUAGAUGUACCGAUGAUUAUAGACUACAAAUUAAGCACGUUAAAGUAUAUUUGAUUAUUUUGAAAAUGUAAAUUCAGUUGGACUAUAACCUUAAAGAAGAUGCAAUAGGAAUAGGUCCAAAAAUGGGCCAAUAGGGUAUUUGAUAACCUUAAGAUCAUACCCCAUAUCCAAUUAUUAUUGGAUAUAUCAACGAGCAAGAUCUAAUGUUCAAAAUAGAACUAGGAAUUGGAUUUGGGUCCUAAUGAAUGUAGUUCCGGUUCGUGUAUGAAUAUAGAAAGCCUACUUAAAUUAGAUGUGUUACCACCCUAACAAGUACAGCAGCUCAAAUGAUU